CAGUAAAUAGUUUAAAAAAAAUUUAAAUUUUGGGAAUUUAAGAUGCAUUUUUGUUUUACUGA
Molecule: transfer RNA, 62 nt
Filed under: Idioscopus clypealis
Lineage: Eukaryota; Metazoa; Arthropoda; Insecta; Hemiptera; Cicadellidae
Description: tRNA-Pro
Source: RNAcentral